CCUACGGGAGGCUGCAGUCGAGAAUCAUUCACAAUGGGGGAAACCCUGAUGCAGCAACGCCGCGUGAGUGAAGAAGUAUUUCGGUAUGUAAAGCUCUAUCAGCAGGGAAGAGUAGAAGACGGUACCUGUCGAAUAAGCCACGGCUAACUACGUGCCAGCAGCCGCGGUAAUACGUAGGUGGCAAGCGUUGUCCGGAUUUACUGGGUGUAAAGGGCGUGUAGCCGGGUUGACAAGUCAGAUGUGAAAUCCUGCGGCUUAACCGCAGAACUGCAUUUGAAACUGUUGAUCUUGAGUACUGGAGAGGCAGACGGAAUUCCUAGUGUAGCGGUGAAAUGCGUAGAUAGUAGGAGGAACACCAGUGGCGAAGGCGGUCUGCUGGACAGCAACUGACGGUGAGGCGCGAAAGCGUGGGGAGCAAACAGGAUUAGAUACCCCAGUAGUC
This 442-nucleotide ribosomal RNA is filed under the name uncultured bacterium. RNAcentral's name for it is "partial 16S ribosomal RNA". It matches the Rfam family "Bacterial small subunit ribosomal RNA", at positions 338 to 795 of the family's 1533-position model. The record is from RNAcentral.